UACGAAGGGUGCAAGCGUUAAUCGGAAUUACUGGGCGUAAAGCGCGCGUAGGUGGUUCGUUAAGUUGGAUGUGAAAGCCCCGGGCUCAACCUGGGAACUGCAUCCAAAACUGGCGAGCGAGAGUAUGGCAGAGGGUGGUGGAAGUUCCUGUGGAGCGGUGACAGGCGUCGCUCGAGGAAGGAAAACCAGGGGCGAAGGCGACCACCUGGGCUAAUACUGACACUGAGUUGCUAAAGCUUGGUAAGCAAACAGUAUUAGAUACCCCCGUAGUCC
RNAcentral lists this ribosomal RNA (273 nucleotides) under uncultured bacterium. RNAcentral describes it as "partial 16S ribosomal RNA". It matches the Rfam family "Bacterial small subunit ribosomal RNA", at positions 524 to 796 of the family's 1533-position model. The record is from RNAcentral.